Molecule: long non-coding RNA, 572 nt
Filed under: Coffea arabica (coffee)
Lineage: Eukaryota; Viridiplantae; Streptophyta; Magnoliopsida; Gentianales; Rubiaceae
Description: long non-coding RNA (CARA_LNC005443)
Source: RNAcentral
ACCACUCAUCUAUAUUAGUAAGACAUAAUUAGUACUCUUUUAUAAAGAAAACCAACAAAAGUAAUUCUUAACAUAAUCAAUGCGAAAUUAAAGUAGGCAUACCUGGACGGGCAGUUUUGUGAGUAUUUUGAGCAAAUUCAAAUCCAAAACUUUGAUCCGUUGAUCUAAACAUUGAUAUUUCAUUCAUCAUAUAUUGAAGUCCAUCCAUUUUUAACUUUUGCAUGACUUCUAAAACACUUUUCAUAAUUUCAGGCAUGUGACAAGGGCUAUCCUUAUCAUAUUGGAAGGCCGGAUUCAAUCAAAAGGCAGCCGCAUGUAGAUCUUUUUUCAACAUAUUAUCUCACCUCCUAUCAAUUAUAUCAAUGUAUGGGCCGUAGAACUUUUUCUUGUUCUUAAACAGUUCUUUAAUGCCAUUAACAACUCUCCAUAUGCCUUCAUAUACAUAACCCAAUGAUGGUUUUUCAUCAGAAUCACAGAUGCGCAACAAGCGCAUAAUUGGACCCAUAAUUCUCACAAUAAUCAAACAAUUAUUCCAAAACUUCCCAUCAACAACAAUUUGUUUGACUUCUUUA